This 253-nucleotide ribosomal RNA is filed under the name uncultured archaeon. RNAcentral describes it as "partial 16S ribosomal RNA". It matches the Rfam family "Archaeal small subunit ribosomal RNA", at positions 474 to 727 of the family's 1478-position model. The record is from RNAcentral.
AACCAGCACCUCAAGUGGUCAGGAUGAUUAUUGGGCCUAAAGCAUCCGUAGCCGGUUCUGUAAGUUUUCGGUUAAAUCUAUGCGCUCAACGUAUAGGCUGCCGAAAAUACUGCAGAACUAGGGAGUGGGAGAGGUAGACGGUACUCGGUAGGAAGGGGUAAAAUCCUUUGAUCUAUUGAUGACCACCUGUGGCGAAGGCGACUCACUGGACAGUUAUUGACGCUGAGGUGCGAAAGCGUGGGGAGCAAACAGG